CUUUUCCAUCUUUUUUUUGUUCUUUUAAAGCUUAAGAGAGUUAAGUGUGGAAUAUGGAGAUUGGGAGUUUGAAAUUAUUUGAUCGUAAGAAUGGUCGAGGAUACCUUUCCAUCAUUCUUUGUUAGGAUCUCAAAAAGCUUCUUGGUUUCCAGUAAGGAAUCUUUAGUAUUUUCCUGCACGUUCUAAGUGAACUUAUAGAUAGAUUAAUAAUGAAGGUUGAUUUAUUUACAUGAAUGAAAAGUGAAUGGAUGUUUGAAAUUGAAUGUUUUCCCUUUGACUAUGUGAUUUAAUGUUUUAAAGGCAUGAUAUAAUAUUUGAAAUGAAACAACAUGAUUGUACGAUCUUAGCCCCUUACAUUGUCUUUGGAGAAUGUUAGGUACAGUUACUUCCUUUAGGCUAGGCUCGAGAAAAUGCUCAAUGGCAAAAUCCAAGUAUAAAGGCCUCUACAGGCUGAGAUUUGUCAUUAGAUUGCAUCAUUGUUCGAAUGUGAAAUAAUAAAGCAAGUGAAAAGAAUAGAAAAUCUAUUGGAUUUUUAUCACUGAAGGGUUUCUGUUAUGUCUUUGCCCCUAUACCUGUAUCUAAGUCUAGAAAGACUGUGGUGAACCAAUCCUUGUGAAUAGUACGAGCAUUCCCUCUGACGAGAGUGGAUUCCCGUUCUGAUCUGUAAGGGCCACAACAGUGAAGUUUAGCAAUGGUUAUUAGUCUAUCUGAUUGGUAGGGGCCACAGUGACAAGGUACAAUCGUGGUUGUUGUACAAACCAAAUUGUAUACUGAAAUGAACCUGUCUACUUCACAGUGGUAGUUGCGGAUCCCUUCUGCCCCAGUUGAUAUAAAUUAGAACGAUUUUGUGCAAAAAUUUAUGAAAUACGUAAGAAAUUAGAUUAUUUAUUGGCUCUCUUAAUUUAGGAUUUGUGCAUGAUAGUAUGAUUAUGAUUUUGUGAAUAUUUGUAUUUAUUAUUCCAUUACUGCUAUAUGUAUGAUUCUGAUUUUGUGAGUACUUGUAUUUAUUGUUCCAAUACUGUUAUACGUAUGAUUAUGAUUUUAUCAGUACUUGUAUUUGUUGUUCCACUACUACUAUAUUCUUAGUUGUGUUGAACUAGUUUCUGCAACAUUGCCCUUAAGUUUUGAUUGUUGUACUACUCUAAUUUAAAUGUCAUUAGUCUCUCUCUUUAAACUUAAAGAAAUGAUUCAAAAUAUUACAAAAAAACCUAGUUUACGGCAGAAUCGAGAGGUAAGUUAAUAUGUUUUAUUUUAGUAGGGUAUCCGAAAUCAAUUAAUCUUUUAAACCUUAGUAAUGUCUUUUAAAUACUAUUUUUCUUACUGAGUAUUUGAAACUCACGCCAAUCCAUGUCCCCUCAGAUGAUGUUGAGAGCAAUAAUAUGCUUGAUGAGUUACCUUUUGAGACGUGUUUGGACCCGUUCGCGGACCUUUAGAAGGAUGUUGAGUGCAUUGUCUAUCUGCACUCUGAUGCAAAACUCUUUUAAUGAAAGAUGUGACUUUGUAUAAGAGUCUUUAGACGUAUAUUUUGGAAGCCACUUUUUGGCCUCAGGUGUAUUCAAACUAAAAAUACUUUUAUAAGGGAUAAAAAUCUUCUGCUGAUAAUAUAUAUUUAUUAUUCAUGCACUCAUUUAUGUUAUGUUAUUGGGCUUCCAUUACCACUAGGUAUUGGGAUGUCACAUAUGCGAACAGCCUUUAUGGCCCAAGCCCUUUUGACCAAGGAGGCCUUAGGACAGGACAGGACACAUAAGCAGUAGACCUUACGCGCAUUUGUAGGCAUGUACAUGCGCAAGGUGGGCAACCACCAUACAUGCCUGUAUGUACUUAGGGCCCAAAUUGCACACAUAAGACAAUGCGCACGAGGUCUGUGUGCUGGAAACACGCAAACAAUCAACAUCGCACACACAACCAGGAGACACAUGCGAGAUCCCUAGCCUGCGCGGGUGAAGUGUGCAUGCAGAAAGCAGUUUGCUUCCCGCAAGGAGUAUUCUCCCUCUGAUUUUAUAUGUGAUUUUGGUGUUGAUUUUUUAAGACUCCUGUAGCAAAUCAAUGUCAACUUGAUGAACUAUAACACAUGGAAAAUUAAGGGAAUUGUCUAUAUAAUUAAUUUAUUACUAUUUAAUUAGUAAUUUAAUCUUAAAUAUUAUCCAUAGAAUUAAUUAUUUAUUAUGUUUUUACUAGGAUUAAGC
This 2186-nucleotide long non-coding RNA is filed under the name Carica papaya (papaya). RNAcentral's name for it is "long non-coding RNA (CPAP_LNC006542)". The record is from RNAcentral. Lineage: Eukaryota; Viridiplantae; Streptophyta; Magnoliopsida; Brassicales; Caricaceae.